UACCGGCAGCUCGAGUGAUGGCCGAUUUUAUUGGGCCUAAAGCGUCCGUAGCUGGCCCUGCAAGUCCGGCGGGAAAUCCACUCGCCUAACGAGGGAGCUUCCGGCGGAAACUACAGGGCUUGGGACCGGAAGACUUGAGGGGUACGUCUGGGGUAGGAGUGAAAUCCUGUAAUCCUGGACGGACCGCCGAUGGCGAAAGCACCUCAAGACGACGGAUCCGACAUUGAGGGACGAAAGCUAGGGUCUCGAACCGG
RNAcentral lists this ribosomal RNA (254 nucleotides) under uncultured archaeon. RNAcentral describes it as "partial 16S ribosomal RNA". It matches the Rfam family "Archaeal small subunit ribosomal RNA", at positions 474 to 727 of the family's 1478-position model. The record is from RNAcentral.